This 471-nucleotide ribosomal RNA is filed under the name uncultured bacterium. Its description in RNAcentral is "bacterial SSU rRNA". It matches the Rfam family "Bacterial small subunit ribosomal RNA", at positions 8 to 526 of the family's 1533-position model. The record is from RNAcentral.
AGAGUUUGAUCCUGGCUCAGAACGAACGCUGGCGGCAGGCCUAACACAUGCAAGUCGAGCGCCCAGCAAUGGGAGCGGCGGACGGGUGAGUAACGCGUGGGAAUUUUUCCUGGAGUACGGAACAACCGAGGGAAACUUCGGCUAAUACCGUAUGAUAUCGAGAGAUCAAAGAUUUAUCGCUCUGGGGUGAGCCCGCGUCAGAUUAGGUAGUUGGUGGGGUAACGGCCUACCAAGCCUGCGAUCUGUAGCUGGUCUGAGAGGACGAUCAGCCACACUGGGACUGAGACACGGCCCAGACUCCUACGGGAGGCAGCAGUGGGGAAUCUUGCGCAAUGGGCGAAAGCCUGACGCAGCCAUGCCGCGUGAGUGAAGAAGGUCUUAGGAUUGUAAAGCUCUUUCGCUCGUGACGAUGAUGACGGUAACGAGAGAAGAAGCCCCGGCUAACUUCGUGCUAGCACGCCGCGGUAAUAC